ACCUGGGUCAUUUUCUAAGGGGGACUUGUGAAUAUCUCAGGACCCACAAUCAAGUGAUGUGGCUCUUCAGCAUGGUUUCUGCCCACGUAUCAAAUUUUGACAUAUACCUAAAGAAGCACCUAGGUGAUAUGACUCUCUUUUUCUGCCUGAGACCAGCCUACUGGUGACAUUCGACCAUAUCUGUGAGCCGAUAGCCUAAUGGUCAUGGUGACAUAUUACUUCAGGCUGUACCCAGAAAGAAAAGAAAGAAAGAAAGAAAGAAAGAAUGAAAGAAAGAAAGAAAGAAAGAAAGAAGGAAAGAAAGAGAAAGAAAGAAAGAAGAAAGAGAAAGAAAGAAGGAAUGAAAGAAAAGAAAGAAAGAAAGAAAAAGAAAGAAAGAAAGAAAAGAGAAAGAAAGAAGAAAGAGAAAGAAAGAAACAAAGAAACAAAGAAACAAAGAAAGAAACAAAGAAAAUUAUGUCUUCUAUCUAGGUCUGUCAUGAUGAAAAGCCAGAAUACAAGCAGUGACCACCACACCUGACAGACCUGCUGCUGCACACAUCUGUACUCUCCAAUCAACAAAACCUGAUGCUAAAAACAGAAAAGGGGAGAUGUAGGAGAUUGGUCAGGGUGGUGGGAAAAAUUGUAGAAAGAUACAAACCUUCUUGGAAGGCUGGAAGGUUUUACAAAAGCUUCAGAAUAGGAUUUGGCUGAAGGCAGCCAGAUUCUCUUAUCUGGUGCCUUAAAGCUUAAGUUAAAUAACAAGGGGAUAUAAAGAAACUGAUCUAGAUAAGUUAGUUUACUUAGGCCUUGGAACCUGGUCUUUAAUCAUCUGCAGGACUGCUCUCCAGGGAGGGCGACUAUGUUAAUUAUCCACAAGUGUGUUAACUCAAAGCCUUUGUUAUUGAAUUUAUACUGAAUAAAUGCCUGCAGUGCCAGCAUGUCAGGGCGGUGGCUGCUGACUCUUUACAGCACCCUGCUCGGUGUAUGUAAGCUGCCUGGUCCAUUAGCUCACUGUUUCACUGG
Pongo pygmaeus (Bornean orangutan) is the source of this 1005-nucleotide long non-coding RNA. RefSeq lists it as uncharacterized. The transcript is spliced from 4 exons. NCBI's taxonomy places the organism in Eukaryota, Metazoa, Chordata, Mammalia, Primates, Hominidae. The record is from RefSeq and is a predicted model, not a curated record.